RNAcentral lists this transfer RNA (77 nucleotides) under Pseudomonas putida S11. RNAcentral describes it as "tRNA-Thr". It matches the Rfam family "tRNA". From Rfam's summary of the family: Transfer RNA (tRNA) molecules are approximately 80 nucleotides in length. The record is from RNAcentral. Lineage: Bacteria; Pseudomonadati; Pseudomonadota; Gammaproteobacteria; Pseudomonadales; Pseudomonadaceae.
GCCGGUAUAGCUCAGAUGGUAGAGCAACUGACUUGUAAUCAGUACGGUCCCGGGUUCGAUUCCUGGUGCCGGCACCA